AUUGAACGCUGGCGGCAGGCCUAACACAUGCAAGUCGAAUGGUAACAGGAAACAGCUUGCUGUUUCGCUGACGAGUGGCGGACGGGUGAGUAAUGUCUGGGAAACUGCCUGAUGGAGGGGGAUAACUACUGGAAACGGUAGCUAAUACCGCAUAACGUCGCAAGACCAAAGAGGGGGACCUUCGGGCCUCUUGCCAUCAGAUGUUCCCAGAUGGGAUUAGCUAGUAGGUGGGGUAACGGCUCACCUAGGCGACGAUCGCUAGAUGGUCUGAGAGGAUGACCGGCCACACUGGAACGGAGACACGGACCAGACUACUACGGGAGGCAGCAGUGGGGAAUAUUGCACAAUGGGCGCAAGCCUGAUGCAGCCAUGCCGCGUGUAUGAAGAAGGCCUUCGGGUUGUAAAGUACUUUCAGCGGGGAGGAAGGGAGUAAAGUUAAUACCUUUGCUCAUUGACGUUACCCGCAGAAGAAGCACCGGCUAACUACGUG
Molecule: ribosomal RNA, 490 nt
Filed under: uncultured bacterium
Lineage: Bacteria
Description: partial 16S ribosomal RNA
Rfam family: Bacterial small subunit ribosomal RNA
Source: RNAcentral